GAGUUUGAUCAUGGCUCAGGACGAACGCUGGCGGCGUGCCUAAUACAUGCAAGUAGAACGCUGAAGAGAGGAGCUUGCUCUUCUUGGAUGAGUUGCGAACGGGUGAGUAACGCGUAGGUAACCUGCCUUGUAGCGGGGGAUAACUAUUGGAAACGAUAGCUAAUACCGCAUAACAAUGGAUGACACAUGUCAUUUAUUUGAAAGGGGCAAUUGCUCCACUACAAGAUGGACCUGCGUUGUAUUAGCUAGUAGGUGAGGUAAUGGCUCACCUAGGCGACGAUACAUAGCCGACCUGAGAGGGUGAUCGGCCACACUGGGACUGAGACACGGCCCAGACUCCUACGGGAGGCAGCAGUAGGGAAUCUUCGGCAAUGGGGGCAACCCUGACCGAGCAACGCCGCGUGAGUGAAGAAGGUUUUCGGAUCGUAAAGCUCUGUUGUAAGUCAAGAACGGGUGUGAGAGUGGAAAGUUCACACUGUGACGGUAGCUUACCAGAAAGGGACGGCUAACUACGUGCCAGCAGCCGCGGUAAUACGUAGGUCCCGAGCGUUGUCCGGAUUUAUUGGGCGUAAAGCGAGCGCAGGCGGUUUGAUAAGUCUGAAGUUAAAGGCUGUGGCUCAACCAUAGUUCGCUUUGGAAACUGUCAAACUUGAGUGCAGAAGGGGAGAGUGGAAUUCCAUGUGUAGCGGUGAAAUGCGUAGAUAUAUGGAGGAACACCGGUGGCGAAAGCGGCUCUCUGGUCUGUAACUGACGCUGAGGCUCGAAAGCGUGGGGAGCGAACAGGAUUAGAUACCCUGGUAGUCCACGCCGUAAACGAUGAGUGCUAGGUGUUGGAUCCUUUCCGGGAUUCAGUGCCGCAGCUAACGCAUUAAGCACUCCGCCUGGGGAGUACGACCGCAAGGUUGAAACUCAAAGGAAUUGACGGGGGCCCGCACAAGCGGUGGAGCAUGUGGUUUAAUUCGAAGCAACGCGAAGAACCUUACCAGGUCUUGACAUCCCGAUGCUAUUUCUAGAGAUAGAAAGUUACUUCGGUACAUCGGUGACAGGUGGUGCAUGGUUGUCGUCAGCUCGUGUCGUGAGAUGUUGGGUUAAGUCCCGCAACGAGCGCAACCCCUAUUGUUAGUUGCCAUCAUUCAGUUGGGCACUCUAGCGAGACUGCCGGUAAUAAACCGGAGGAAGGUGGGGAUGACGUCAAAUCAUCAUGCCCCUUAUGACCUGGGCUACACACGUGCUACAAUGGUUGGUACAACGAGUUGCGAGUCGGUGACGGCGAGCUAAUCUCUUAAAGCCAAUCUCAGUUCGGAUUGUAGGCUGCAACUCGCCUACAUGAAGUCGGAAUCGCUAGUAAUCGCGGAUCAGCACGCCGCGGUGAAUACGUUCCCGGGCCUUGUACACACCGCCCGUCACACCACGAGAGUUUGUAACACCCGAAGUCGGUGAGGUAACCUUUUGGAGCCAGCCGCCUAAGGUGGGACAGAUGAUUGGGGUGAAGUCGUAACAAGGUAACCGUA
RNAcentral lists this ribosomal RNA (1511 nucleotides) under Streptococcus thermophilus. RNAcentral describes it as "bacterial SSU rRNA". It matches the Rfam family "Bacterial small subunit ribosomal RNA". The record is from RNAcentral. Lineage: Bacteria; Bacillati; Bacillota; Bacilli; Lactobacillales; Streptococcaceae.